Molecule: ribosomal RNA, 250 nt
Filed under: uncultured bacterium
Lineage: Bacteria
Description: partial 16S ribosomal RNA
Rfam family: Bacterial small subunit ribosomal RNA
Source: RNAcentral
AAGCCGCGAGGCCGAGCGAAUCCCAAAAAUAAACGUCCCAGUUCGGAUUGCAGUCUGCAACUCGACUGCAUGAAGCUGGAAUCGCUAGUAAUCGCGAAUCAGAAUGUCGCGGUGAAUACGUUCCCGGGUCUUGUACACACCGCCCGUCACACCAUGGGAGUUGGUAACGCCCGAAGUCAGUGACCCAACCGCAAGGAGGGAGCUGCCGAAGGCGGGAUCGGUAACUGGGGUGAAGUCGUAACAAGGUAAC